RNAcentral lists this transfer RNA (71 nucleotides) under Marmota monax (woodchuck). Its description in RNAcentral is "tRNA.Ala". It matches the Rfam family "tRNA". Rfam says of the family: Transfer RNA (tRNA) molecules are approximately 80 nucleotides in length. Their secondary structure includes four short double-helical elements and three loops (D, anti-codon, and T loops). Further hydrogen bonds mediate the characteristic L-shaped molecular structure. tRNAs have two regions of fundamental functional importance: the anti-codon, which is responsible for specific mRNA codon recognition, and the 3' end, to which the tRNAs corresponding amino acid is attached (by aminoacyl-tRNA synthetases). tRNAs cope with the degeneracy of the genetic code in two manners: having more than one tRNA (with a specific anti-codon) for a particular amino acid; and 'wobble' base-pairing, i.e. permitting non-standard base-pairing at the 3rd anti-codon position. The record is from RNAcentral. Lineage: Eukaryota; Metazoa; Chordata; Mammalia; Rodentia; Sciuridae.
GGGGUUGUAGCUCAGCGGUAGAGUUCUCACCUAGCAUGUGUGAGGCCCUGGGUUCAAUCCUCAGCACCACA